Molecule: long non-coding RNA, 1247 nt
Filed under: Equus caballus (horse)
Lineage: Eukaryota; Metazoa; Chordata; Mammalia; Perissodactyla; Equidae
Description: lncRNA (ENSECAG00000047169.1)
Source: RNAcentral
UUCCUUCCUACAGAGCCCUACUGCAUGAGCUGAUAAACACUAAGACGCCGGAGGAUGCCGGUUCUCCAGAUUUAUGUGUACUGUAAUAAAGAACUCCUAAAAUUAGACUAUGCUUCAAGAUACAAAGGGAUUAUUAACGCACCCCACAUGGUGGGAUUUCAGGCACAGUGGAAGAGAUAUUUUGUGCCCUCCCUAGCAUCUCACAAAUCAUGCCACUGAGUGGUUCUCUACUGCCCUCAUACAUGAGCCACCAUACAUGGCUUGAUGUGAUCGAUGAAACCAGCCUGAAUGGAAAAGCUCCGUUGUGACAGAAGAUAUUUCUGCCCUUGCUUCUCCCCACUCCUCCUCCUGUCAGGAGAAGGUUCCCGUAAGUCACCCACCAGGAGGAGAGGGAACCCUGCUUCAUAAGCUCCUGGCUGUUCUGCUCUGAGGAAAUGUCAGGGGAAAGGACUGUCACCUGCCAGGCUUCAGCAUCAGAGGAGGGAGUGAUUCUCCCAUCCAUGGCUGGUACAUAGAACUGUCCAGUCUCAGGGUUGGAGAAAACGACGUAGUCUAAUUACCCGUCUCAGGAAUUUCGGAGGGCCUGGCUGAGUGGUUUACCUGUUUUACGUGAUGCGUCUGGGACAGCUGGACGACUCACUUCCAGUAGGGCUUUUCACUCACAUCUGGCCUGCUCCAUGCUCCUUGGGCUCUCUCUCCCCAUGUCGUGUCUCAUCUUUCAGGGUCUGCGCAUGUAGCUUGACCUUCUUACAGCCUGGUGGUCUCAGGGUAGCUGCAUUUCUUACAUGGCGGCUGGCUUCCAAGAGGCAAGAAGUGGAAGAAGCCAGGCCAAUCCAGGGCUACGCCAAGAACGGGCAGUGGAUCAUUUCUACCACAGGAUAGUGAUCAAAGCAGGCUGGAGUCCUUCUCGGCUGAAGGAGUGGAGAAGUAGACUCCACUACUGCUGGGGGAAUGGCAAGUUCACACUGCAGAAGAGCACGUGGAGCGGGAGACACUGAUUUGAUACAGCCAUCUCUGAAAAACCCAGCUUCAUGUCACACGGCACAUGUAAAUCCAAUCGUCUUGCAUCCCAGACUCCUUGGAGCAUAUCACCAGCAGUGGUAGAAAUGACAACUGUGAUGCCUCCCUUCAUCUUCUUAAGGCUACGAGGAACAGUGGCAUAAACAUGAAGUUCAUGAUGUGUCACCGCUAGAAGAGGUUCCUAAGUAAUAACUUGUGGAAAGCUUGCAAUUCUUAUUGAAUUUCCU